Molecule: ribosomal RNA, 468 nt
Filed under: uncultured bacterium
Lineage: Bacteria
Description: partial 16S ribosomal RNA
Rfam family: Bacterial small subunit ribosomal RNA
Source: RNAcentral
GACGAACGCUGGCGGCGUGCUUAACACAUGCAAGUCGAACGGAAAGGCCCUGCUUUUGUGGGGUGCUCGAGUGGCGAACGGGUGAGUAACACGUGAGUAACCUGCCCUUCACUUUGGGAUAACUUCAGGAAACUGGGGCUACUACCGGAUAGGAUCUCCUGCUGCAUGGAGGGGGUUGGAAAGUUUCGGCGGUUGGGGAUGGACUGGCGGCUUAUCAGCUUGUUGGUUGGGGAGGGGUUUACCAAGGCAUUGGCGGGUAGCCGGCCUGGGAGGGGGGACGGGGACAUGGGGCCUACGGGAGGGCCCAGAGUGGAACAGGGGGCAAUAGUGGGAAGUAUGGCACAGUGAGCCCGAGCCUGUUGCAGAAGCGUCGGGGGCGGGAAGACCGCCUUCGGGGUGUAAACCGCUUUAGCUUGAGACGAAGCUGGAGUGACGGUAAUGAGUAAAGAAGCACCGGCUAACUACGUG